Equus caballus (horse) is the source of this 1519-nucleotide long non-coding RNA. The record is from Ensembl. Lineage: Eukaryota; Metazoa; Chordata; Mammalia; Perissodactyla; Equidae.
CUUAACUUUAAUUCUUUAGAUGUGGUUUCUUGAGGUACUUGAAACACACUUAGAAAAGCAUUUAGGUAAGCAAGAUACUGGAACAGGAGACUCUGAACUUGCCCUCCAUUCUGGGACUCUGUGAAUGAACUGCUAUACAUGGAUCAAUGCCUCUGAGAGAAAUCCAGAAACUAGUUAAGAGACUCUUUAACACUAGGUGACUAAGAACAUAUCUACAUUGAAAGAGGUAGGAAAAGCUGAGACACACUCUUGCCAUAACCGCCUCCCCCAUCCCCCCACUAAGUGCCCUACAAUUGAGAGGAAACCGCCAACUACCAGCUUCUCCCUGAGGAGUGAAGGGUUUGGACUGCAUAUUUAGCAUCCAAACUUCCUAUGGCUUCUACUUUAAAGAUUGGCUUUGAACUCGCCCAUCUCUGGGAGUUGAUGGUGCCCGGCAUUUGCUAGUCCUCUGGGACCUCAGAGAACAAAGAGGCACUUUUAAAUGGGUGCACGAGCAGUUUCCAGGGCUCUUCCCCCAGCUCAGUGCUGAGGGAGCAAUGAAUUUUACUUCCAAGCUUGAGUUUGACUGCACAUCUAGCACUCUGGCUUUUCCAGCUUCUGCCUAAGGGUCUGACUUCUAACUAGCCAGUCUCUAGGAGUUGACAGGGCUUGGAAUUCCCUAGUCUCCCAGGGUCUACAGAGAAAGAGUUUUGAAGGGCCCUGCAGAGUCUUCAAAUGACUACUCCUUUCAGUUCACUCCAGCAAUAAAACCCAGUGCCUGGCAUCUCUCUGGAAGAGGUUAGACUGCAUACUCCUUCCCUGAAUUUUCCAGUUGCUGUCUUAAGAGUCUGACUUCUAACUUGCCUGUCUCUUGGAGCUGACAAGUCAGGCAACAACUAAUCUCUUGGGAGUUUGAAUGGGUGUGUGGGCACUUCCUGUGGCUCCUCUCCCCAGGCUGCCACAGCAAUAAAAUGAAGCCACCAGUCUCUCCCUAGGAGGACUUGUACUGGGUUUUAACCCAGCUGUCUAUGAAAGCUAAUAUGACACAGCAUUUGCUUGGACUCUGGAGGCAAGAGAGAACAAAGCAGCCUAUUGAAAGAGUGUGUGUUCUAAACAAGGGUAUGGGAAUUUACCACAGCUCCUCUCUGCAGGUCAGUGCAGAGCAAGUGAGCAGUAAACUCCAGCCUCUCCCUGAGAAGAGGACCAAUUGGAUUACACUUAGUGCCCCAACGUUUCCAGCUUCUAUGAUGCUGCCAUCCAUCCAGAGCUGAUCAGAGCAUCAUGAAGGAGCAUCUUCCACUACAAAUAGAUUUGGAACUUUACUUUCAGAGACUUAAUGGCAGAAACACCAGUGUACACAUGUGAUGAUAGAAUAAAAGUUAAAAUAAAGAAUCCUUCAUGAAGUGUCUCACAGCUCUCUAAAGCUUUGGUUCAAUCUCUGCUCCAUUUACAGUCCUGUCCUGUCUGUGCUGUCCACAGUACUCACCUUGGGACACAGCAAGAUUCUGAAGUUCCCUGUGGGCCAUUCACCUAAACGUUC